CCUACGGGUGGCAGCAGUAGGGAAUAUUGCUCAAUGGGGGAAACCCUGAAGCAGCAACGCCGCGUGGAGGAUGAAGGUUUUCGGAUUGUAAACUCCUUUUGUUAGAGAAGAUAAUGACGGUAUCUAACGAAUAAGCACCGGCUCACUCCGUGCCGGCAGCCGGUGUAAUACGGAGGGUGCAAGCGUUAAUCGGAAUCACUGGGCGUAAAGAGCGCGUAGGCGGGAUAGCAAGUCAGAUGUGAAAUGCUAUGGCUUAACCAUAGAGCUGCAUUUGAAGCUGGUAUUCUAGAGUAUGGGAGAGGUAGGUGGAAGGCUUGGUGUAGGGGUAAAAUCCGUAGAGAUCAAGAGGAAUACUCAUUGCGAAGGCGACCUGCUAGAACAUAACUGACGCUGAUGCGCGAAAGCGUGGGGAGCAAACAGGAUUAGAUACCCUUGUAGUC
This 440-nucleotide ribosomal RNA is filed under the name uncultured bacterium. Its description in RNAcentral is "partial 16S ribosomal RNA". It matches the Rfam family "Bacterial small subunit ribosomal RNA", at positions 338 to 795 of the family's 1533-position model. The record is from RNAcentral.